Molecule: RNA transcript, 941 nt
Organism: Rhodamnia argentea
Lineage: Eukaryota; Viridiplantae; Streptophyta; Magnoliopsida; Myrtales; Myrtaceae
Gene name: universal stress protein A-like protein
Exons: 6
Source: RefSeq, a predicted model, not a curated record
UAUUAUGCAAGAUGCGUCAUACGAUAUAAAGUCAGCUUCACUUGAUUCAGUAUCACACAAAAGCUUUGCUUAUAUCACAACCAUAGGUGAGGUGGAUUUGAAUUGCUUCAGCGUUCAAGUCACUGCUUAGGCGGAGGUCCCGGAAUUGGAAUCAAGAUUUGACCAUCAGAACAGAAGCGAGUUUCAAAGAUCAAAGGUGUGGCUUUUGAGGUAAGAAACUGGUAGAGAAAUGGAGGGAGGAGGGAAAGGGGAGAGCAAGAAGGUGAUGGUGGUCAUCGACGAGAGCGAUUCCAGUUACCAUGCCCUUAUGUGGGUGCUCAACAAUCUCAAGGAAUCGAUCACGAGUUCUUCGCUGGUGCUUUUCGCCUCGCAGCCACCGCCGACCUGUAGUUUUGGGUUCGGAGCUCCAUUCAGUUUGGCUUGCCUAUAUUUUCAAGGCUUGGCAGCCCCGGAGGUCUUUAGCAUGGCACAAGAACGAAGUAAGAAGAUUUGCUUGGGAAUCUUGAAGAAAGCCGAGGGCAUCUGCGCGAGUCGAGGGGUGAAAGUGGAGACACUCACAGAGGCCGGAGAUCCUAGAGUUACCAUAUGCAAUGCAGUGCACAAGAACAACAUCAAUCUUCUUAUACUGGGGCAUGAAUCUCAUGGAAUCCUCAAGAGUCGGUCAUUGCAGGGUUUUCUUGGGGACUCUGAGCGAUUACCAAUUGAAUAAUGUGAAGUGCCCGAUACUUGUGGUGAAGAGACCAGAAUAAUCGUUCCAAAACUGCUUAUAUCGGUUUCUGUCAGCUAUAUGACGACCGAAUUGUAUGUAUUUAUGUCCUCACUGUGUAAGAAUUAUCAGAUUAUCUCAUCUGAGCUAAAUCUAUCAGGUCUGUAAAUUCAUAUUCAGAAUUGUCUAUAACUAAUCACCGUUCAAAAGAAUCCAAGUGCGAGAACCCCAGUCA